Molecule: transfer RNA, 82 nt
Filed under: Ramicandelaber brevisporus
Lineage: Eukaryota; Fungi; Kickxellomycota; Ramicandelaberales; Ramicandelaberaceae
Description: tRNA-Leu
Rfam family: tRNA
About the family: Transfer RNA (tRNA) molecules are approximately 80 nucleotides in length. Their secondary structure includes four short double-helical elements and three loops (D, anti-codon, and T loops).
Source: RNAcentral
GGCGAGAUGGCCGAGAGGUCUAAGGCGCCAGAUUUAGGCUCUGGUAUCUUCGGAUGCGUGGGUUCGAACCCCACUCUCGUCA